Molecule: ribosomal RNA, 449 nt
Filed under: uncultured bacterium
Lineage: Bacteria
Description: partial 16S ribosomal RNA
Rfam family: Bacterial small subunit ribosomal RNA
Source: RNAcentral
AGCGAACGCUGGCGGCAGGCCUAACACAUGCAAGUCGAACGGAUCCUUCGGGAUUAGUGGCGGACGGGUGAGUAACACGUGGGAACGUGCCUUUAGGUUCGGAACAACUCAGGGAAACUUGAGCUAAUACCGGAUGUGCCCUUAGGGGGAAAGAUUUAUCGCCUUUAGAGCGGCCCGCGUCUGAUUAGCUAGUUGGUGAGGUAAAGGCUCACCAAGGCGACGAUCAGUAGCUGGUCUGAGAGGAUGACCAGCCACAUUGGGACUGCGACACGGCCCAAACUCCUACGGGAGGCAGCAGUGGGGAAUCUUGCGCAAUGGGCGAAAGCCUGACGCAGCCAUGCCGCGUGUAUGAUGAAGGUCUUAGGAUUGUAAAAUACUUUCACCGGUGAAGAUAAUGACUGUAGCCGGAGAAGAAGCCCCGGCUAACUUCGUGCCAGCAGCCGCCGUAA